GGGGAGUUUUCCCCUUUUUAAAAAAAAAAUUUAUAGAGGUUUUGAAUUUGCUCAGAUUGAACGCUGGCGGCAGGCCUAACACAUGCAAGUCGAGCGGCAGCACGGGUACUUGUACCUGGUGGCGAGCGGCGGACGGGUGAGUAAUACCUAGGAAUCUGCCUGGUAGUGGGGGAUAACGUCCGGAAACGGACGCUAAUACCGCAUACGUCCUACGGGAGAAAGCAGGGGACCUUCGGGCCUUGCGCUAUCAGAUGAGCCUAGGUCGGAUUAGCUAGUUGGUGAGGUAAUGGCUCACCAAGGCUACGAUCCGUAACUGGUCUGAGAGGAUGAUCAGUCACACUGGAACUGAGACACGGUCCAGACUCCUACGGGAGGCAGCAGUGGGGAAUAUUGGACAAUGGGCGAAAGCCUGAUCCAGCCAUGCCGCGUGUGUGAAGAAGGUCUUCGGAUUGUAAAGCACUUUAAGUUGGGAGGAAGGGCCGUUACCUAAUACGUGAUGGUUUUGACGUUACCGACAGAAUAAGCACCGGCUAACUCUGUGCCAGCAGCCGCGGUAAUACAGAGGGUGCAAGCGUUAAUCGGAAUUACUGGGCGUAAAGCGCGCGUAGGUGGUUCGUUAAGUUGGAUGUGAAAUCCCCGGGCUCAACCUGGGAACUGCAUUCAAAACUGUCGAGCUAGAGUAUGGUAGAGGGUGGUGGAAUUUCCUGUGUAGCGGUGAAAUGCGUAGAUAUAGGAAGGAACACCAGUGGCGAAGGCGACCACCUGGACUGAUACUGACACUGAGGUGCGAAAGCGUGGGGAGCAAACAGGAUUAGAUACCCUGGUAGUCCACGCCGUAAACGAUGUCAACUAGCCGUUGGGAGCCUUGAGCUCUUAGUGGCGCAGCUAACGCAUUAAGUGACCGCCUGGGAGACCGCCCACUUGG
RNAcentral lists this ribosomal RNA (925 nucleotides) under Pseudomonas frederiksbergensis. RNAcentral's name for it is "bacterial SSU rRNA". It matches the Rfam family "Bacterial small subunit ribosomal RNA", at positions 1 to 893 of the family's 1533-position model. Lineage: Bacteria; Pseudomonadati; Pseudomonadota; Gammaproteobacteria; Pseudomonadales; Pseudomonadaceae. The record is from RNAcentral.